AGGUCUGAUGUGAUUUAACCAGAAAGACCCUAAUUACUGUUUGGAAACAGGAUGGCGAAAGAUGCUGCAAAACUGAGCCUUCGACGAUUGGAACCAGCGAUCCAGAAAUUUGUUAAAGUUGCAAUCCCAACUGAUUUGGAACGGCUCCAAAAGCACCAGAUAAAUAUUGAGAAGUAUCAGCGAUGGAGUCAAUGGGACAAGCUGCAUCAGGAGCACAUCAAUGCAAGCCGUACUGUGCAGAUCUGAAACACGCUGAAUGUUGGCCCACUUCUAGAGCUAGACCCCGUCCGCCAUGGUCUUUAAAAAAUCGAAAGAACUGCAGAUGCUGUAAAUCAGAAACAAAAACAAAAGUUGCUGGAAAAGCUCAGCAGGUCUGGUGGCAUCUUUGAAGAAAAAUCAGAGUUAACGUUUUGGUUUCCAGUGAGGAACGGUCACUGGACCUUCUGUUUUUAUGGUCCCAUGGUCUUUGCCAGGUAGAUGUGGGAGAGUUAGUUAUAGUUUUUGAUAUAACAGUGCAGGCAGUUUCUCUGUGGCCCUUGUCUUGCAUCCUUUUAUAAAUUAAAAGAUAAAAUGCUGGAAAUAUUCAGCUGGUUAGGUAGCAGCUGUGAAGUAGAAGCAGAAUUAACAUUUUUAGGUCUAAGGGGUGGCAUGGUGGCUCAGUGGUUAGCACCGCUGCCUCAGCGCCAGAGGCCCGGGUUCGAUUCUAGCCUCGGGCAACUGUCUGUGUGGAGUUCGCACAUUCUCCCCAUCUGUGUGGGUUUCCUCCGGUUUCCUCCCACAGUCCAAAGAUGUGCAGGCUAGGUGGAUUGGCCAUGCUAAAUUGCCCGUAGAGUUCAGGGAUGUGUCUGGGUUGGGUGCUCUGAGGGUGGGUGUGGACUUGUUGGGCCGAAGGGCCUGCCUUCACACUGUGGGGAUUAUAAGGACCUAUCAUUUUGCACCAAUUCAACCUUUAAAUACUGUAUAGUACUUCAGAAUUAACCAAUAUUAACCAAUUACCAACUUUGAUUUUAUUUAUCAACAGCCGUCGACCUUCAAUGUAGUGUGCUCCAAUGAAGUCUGUAUUAUAGGAACUGUCUUUUAAAGCUCUUCCUAUUCUGCUGAAGUCUUAGAAUUGUUCCAGUUAUAGUCAACUUCCUGAUAAAUUAAUGGUCAAUAUUUGAAUAGUCGAGCUUCCACAUAAACAGUAUGCAAUUUUUAAGUAAAAGAAAAAGAAUCUAUGUUAAAAUAAAAACAACAAUCGGGAGCCAACAAAGAUUAAUCACCGAAGAGCCAGCAUUGCUUUUACGUAAUAGGUUUUUAAACUGAGACAACCUCCCCUCAUCAAAAACUAGAAUAUCCAAGCUGCCUUACAAGGUCAUCAAAUUUCUGCAUGAGUGAAAGUUUUCUUUAUGUUGACAUUAACAUAUCUUACCAUUGCUAUUUGCUAAUAACAUUGUAUUUCAGAACUUAGAACAAGUGUCCUCAGGGCUGUUACAAUAUUUGCAAUGACUUCCAGGACUAGAAUUAUUUGCAGGGAUUUCUAGGAAAAAUGUGUGUUGAUAUUUGCAGUACUGGCCCUCACACAGAAAAGGUAUAAAACACUGAUUUACCUUUUUUUAUAUGUAGUCUGAACCAGUAACCAUGUAGUGGGUGUAGAAUGUAGUAGAUGUUUUGAGCUGGUUUAUUCUUCUGUAGUAAAAACCAAAAGAACUGCGGAUGCUGUAAAUCAAGAACAAAAACAAAGUUGCUGGAAAAGCUCAGCAGGUCUGGCAGCAUCUGUGGAGGAGCAGUUCUGAGGAAGGGUCACUGGACCCGAAACGUUAACUCUGUUUUCUCCUUCACAGAUGCUGCCAGACCUGCUGAGCUUUUCCAGCAUCUUUGUUUUUAUUCUUCUGUAGUGUUUGUACAAUAACAGUAAUGUUAUAAUAACUACUAUGUGUUUAUACAGUACACUGGCAGUGAUACCAGAGUAAAAUGAUACUUUUAUUGCGAAAA
Rhincodon typus (whale shark) is the source of this 1974-nucleotide RNA transcript. It is a transcript of the gene named syntaxin-17-like, with no coding region annotated. The record is from RefSeq and is a predicted model, not a curated record. The transcript has 3 exons. Lineage: Eukaryota; Metazoa; Chordata; Chondrichthyes; Orectolobiformes; Rhincodontidae.